GUUUCAUGGGAGAAGCUCUAAACUUUACCUCAACAUUUAUGUAAAGUUAAAGCUGUACAGAUUCUGAGUCUUGGAAGUUUAUUUCAAAGAAAAGACAAUGCCUGUGCCACAUAUUUGACUUGGUUCUAUAAAUAUUAUGAAGCUUCAGGAAAUAUGAGCAGGAUCUCAAAUAUAUUCAAUAAGCUUCCAAUUUUUGUCUUUUGAGAUGGUUGGUCUUGGAACCCAGAACCAUGCUUUAAGAUGUCAAGCCUCCUCUGCUGAUGCUGUAUGGAGAACAGACAAGCUUUCCCAUGAAGCCCUAACCAAACUGCAGAACUGUGAAUAAAAUAAUUGUUAUGAAAAUGCA
This is a long non-coding RNA of Rhinopithecus roxellana (golden snub-nosed monkey), 346 nucleotides long. RefSeq lists it as uncharacterized. The transcript has 4 exons. NCBI's taxonomy places the organism in Eukaryota, Metazoa, Chordata, Mammalia, Primates, Cercopithecidae. The record is from RefSeq and is a predicted model, not a curated record.